AGAAGGCCCUGGGUUCUAAUCCCGGGCUCCACCGCUUGUCGGUUGUGUGACCUUAGGCAGAUGGCUUCACUUCUCUGUGCCUCAGUUGCCUCAUCUGUAAAAUGGGGAUGAAGACCGCGAGUCUGUGGAACAGGGACUGUGCCCAACCCAAGUCGCUCGUACUGCCUCCGAGAGUUCAGUACGGUGCCUGGCACGUAGUAAGUACUUAAACCCCGCAAUUAUUAUUAAGUGGCACAUAUCCACAGGGUGGCUUCUAGGCUGCGAGCCCGUUGUUGGGUAGGGAUUGUUUCUGUUGCCAAAUUGUACUUUCCAAGCGCUUAGGACGGUGCUCCGCCCACGGUGAGCGCUCAAUAGAUAGGACUGAAUGAAUGGCAGUUCUCUACGCAGUGUAGCCUUCAGUUAUUAGAGUCUAAUGGUAUUCAAUCAAUCCAUCAGUGGUAUCUACCGAGCGCUCGCUGUGCGCAGAGAGCACCGUAUUAAGCAUCCGGGAGAGUACUCGGUAACAGAACCGAUAUCCCGUCCCCUUCCCGCGAGGUGACAAUGGAGGGAAUGGUCUUUUCUGCAGGAUUCCUUUCCUGGGAGGAAGGGAGUUCGGCGGCAGAAGGGGUAGCCGUUCGCCGGUGACGACGGACCCCUCCUCCUUCAGACCUCUCUCCUCGGGAUUCCGAGAGGCGGUAAGGUACCGGCGGGACACCGCUGGGGUUUUUGGCGAGGAAUCCUUUAACCGGGCCCGCGAUCGCGGACGUCAUCUUCGAACUUCUACCAGUAACUACGUAUUAGACAGAAGGGGAAUCCCGUCUUUCUGGUACUACCGGCGUGCGACGAAUGGAAAACGAAACACUCUUCUGUAACCUCGUGGAGUACCGAAGAGCAGGGCUGGCCAAUUUACAGGCCCGGAAGAUCUUCCCUCCCUACUAAAUCCCUGGACUGUUAAUCCGUUGCUUGGACCGUGGACUAUUUAUUCUGGAAAAGACUUUCGAAGCACUGGCUUCGCUCCGGCUAAGGCACGCUUACACGACGCGAAGCUCUCCGCUCCGAAGGAAAGGCCUCCGGUGAUCGUCCGAGGUCGGCUCCCGCGGAACCCGGCGUCGGGAAAUCUCUCCCGUCCGAACCCGCGUGGCGG
RNAcentral lists this long non-coding RNA (1123 nucleotides) under Ornithorhynchus anatinus (platypus). RNAcentral's name for it is "lncRNA (ENSOANG00000043733.1)". Lineage: Eukaryota; Metazoa; Chordata; Mammalia; Monotremata; Ornithorhynchidae. The record is from RNAcentral.